AAGAAACCCAGGGACACAGCCCCCACGCCGCAGCCGAAGGCUGGCUCUGCUGGCUGGUGUUCCCCGCUGUCCGAGGCAGCCUGGGGAAGCCCUCAUGCCCACCUAGGGCAGAUGCAGGGCAAUUCAGGCCCAAGGAAGUCUGGCACGUCUCAGCAGGAGGCAGAAGUUCAUUAACAGGGGGGCUCAUCAGGCUGGGAUGCCUGCUGGGAAGGAGAUGGAAACAGUAAAUGCAUCUCAUCAUCCAAAGCAAGAAGGAAAUGAAACAUUUUGGAAGUCAUUGAAAGGCAGAUUUUAUGUUAAUUUGAAAUAAAAUGUUUGGUUAACCAAUUGCUCUCUGAGCGACUUCUGUGACUUUUUUAAAAACAUUGAAAUAGAGUUGAUUUACAGUAGUAUAUUAAUUUCAGGUGUAGAACAUAGUGAUUCAGUAUUUUUGUAGAUUAUGUUCCAUUAAAAGUUAUUACAAGAUAAUGGUUAUAGUUCCCUGUGCUGUAGAAUGUAUCAUUGUUGCCUAUCUUACACAUAUUAGCUUGUAGCUCUUAAGCCCACAUCCCUAGUCUUCCCCUCCCCCUUUCCUCUCUCCUUUAGUAACCGUGAGUUUGUUUUCUGUAUGUAUGAAUCUGUUUCUGUUUGUAUAUAUAUAUUCAUUUGUAUUAUUUUUCAUUUUUUUAAAGUUUAUUUUAUUUUUUGCUUUGCAGGGCCACACCCGUGCGUUAUGGAGGUUCCAGGUUAGGGGUCUACGAGAAGCCAUAGCUACCGGCUUACGCCACAGCCACAGCAACACAAGAUCCAAGCCAUGCCUGUGACCCACACCACAACUCUUGGCAAUGCCGGAUCCUUAACUUGCUGAGAGAGGCCAGGGAUCGAAACCACAACCUCACGCAUGGCUCCUAGUCAGAUUUGUUUCUGCUGCGCCACAAGGGGAACUCCACUUGUAUUAUUUUUUCAUUUUCCACAUAUAAGUGGUAUCAUACAAUGCUUGUCUUUCUCUUAUUUCACAAAGUGCAACAUUCUCUAGAUCCAUCCAUGAUCCUGCAAAUGGCAUUAUUUCAGUCUUUUUAAUGGCUGAGUAAUAUUCCACUGUGUGUGUGUAUACCACAUUUUCUUAAUCCAGUGCCUGUUGAUGGGCACUUGGGUUGCUUCUGUGUCUUAGCUACUGUACUGCUACGAACACUGAGGUGUGUGUAUCUUUUGGAAUUACUGGUUUUUUUUUUUCCAGGUAUAUAUCCAGGAGUGGAAUUGCUGGAUCAUAUGGUAGUUCUAUUUUUAGCAUUUGUUCUUUUCUGACUGAUUUAUUUCACUAAACCUAAAUAUUUUCUAGGUCCAUCCACCUGGCUGCAACUGGCAGAAUUUCAUUUUUUUUUUUUAUGACUUCUGGAUUUUCUAUGUUCAAGAUAGAUAUCAACUUGCCAUUCACUGAAAGGGCUAGGAGCUCAGGCUUAUUCCAACUAGGUGAGGUCUGAGUCAUCUCAUUGAUGACUUGAUUUCUCAGCAGGUUCUCUGCAUGCUGAGUUAAACCUCUCAAAAUCCUCGUGUCAGACACUUUCUCCAAGGACCAGCUUACCUCCUAUGCACACAGAGCAGAGGGUCCUAUGUUACAGGCUGGAGUAGCCACCCAGAAACUGCGAUGAACUCUCUUGGGGAGGGAGAGAGAUUCAAUAUUGCUUAUUAAACACCUGGAUUAAAACUAAAAAUGGUUAGGAUGUUAUCUACAUUUUUUCACUCCCAUUCUUUCAUGAUUGUACAAGAGAGUUUUCUAGAGGCUCUUGAUAUGUAACAUUACAGUAGUCUGAAUAUAGAACAUAUGUGACAAUGUCAGACAUUAAAGAGAUCUGCAAAAAUGCAAAACACUGUCCCUUUUCUAAAUGUUUUUUAUUUUUAAAAAGUUAUUUUUCAUAAAAACAUGUUUUUAAGUUCGUGUGUGAUGAACUAAUUGAUACAUAUUUCUGGUUAUUCUUUUUAAAAUUGUAGUAUAGUUGCUUUACAAUCUUUCCUUGCUAAUUAAUAAUUUUUUCUAAGGACAUAAAUAUUGUAAUGAGAAAUUUAAAUGAAAAGUACAUUUCAUUUUUAAUGUGGAAAUAUUGAUAGAAUCCACAUAAACAAAAUCUCUUUGCGUUUUUGGUAAUUUUUAAGACUGUAAAGAGAUCAUAAGACCAAAAUGAUUGCAAACUGAGUGAGUCAUGUGUUUACCCUUUCUGUGCCUUCUCUCUAAUCUUCAGAACAGACCUGCAAGAUAAAGCCUUUGAUCUCCAGGUUACAGAAGACACAAAAGACAUGCAGAGAAAACAGACACCUCUACGGGACAUGUGAUUGGACAUGCCCGCUUUCUCUAUUCUGUCCACUUUUCUACAGUAUCUCUUGACAUCCACUGCGGCAAAAGCAAGUUUUAAGUAAGAGAAAGAAAGCCACAACAAUUAGUGAUUUUGCAAGAAGCAAACUCCACUCUCUAAAGCUUUCUGAAAAACAUGCUCUGUGUUACUUUGCCUCAAGAGAAAUAAACGAAUUUAGUCCAAAAUGACCUUUCUCCAUUCCUAGCUUAGCCCUAGGCCCUUGCUGGGUCUGCCACAUCUGCACAGUGCCCUCUGCUGGCCCCCCUAUACUCCAGCACAGCCUGGUGGGGUCUGAUGCUCAGUAGACUAGGCUCCCCUUCUAGGGUAGAGCCCACAGGGACCACUGGUAUCUUACAAGGUUUGGAAAUUCCUCCAGUUGCACUCAGUCUUUCAUAUGAAUAUGAGAGGCUGCCUUCACCAGUGACAACUCUCUUGGGACCACUCCUAGUUGCAGGUCCAUUUUUUCUGCCUGUUUUCCACAUUCAGAGCUCAGAACACAAAGAACCACCUUUUCCACUCUUGUGACUUGAGGAGGAAGCCUGGCAUGUUAUUUAACCUUUCUGAGCCCCACUCUUCUCAUCUUAAAAAUGGAAAUGUUAAUAUUUCCCUCGAGAGUUACUGUGAGCCUGAAGUGGGACAAUGCAGAAACACGUGGCACAGGGCUGAACAGUGCUGGUUCCUGCUUCCCACUUCUGCUCUGGGCUGACACUGAAGGUGACCCUGAACUGCUGGAAAUGUCACCACACCCUGGUCUCCUUCCGGUCUUCCGUCAUGGAUUCGGCUCCCACCAGGGGCAGGAGUUUGUGCAGCUCUCAGGAUAUAAAGUCAAAAUAAGGGAGUCAAGGUUCCCUUGUCCCUUCUCUGAGUGACCGCUCUGCAGGAUACCUCAGUGAGCAUCAGGGCCAGCGCACAAUCAGAGGCUUUCCCGCGCUGUCUUCUGAAGGGCUUGUGCUGCAGCUGAUACAUGUGUUACUUCCUGCAGGAGUUUCCAAACCUCUUUACCAAGAAGGCUUCCUCCCAUGAAAAGGCUGUUGUUUGCUCAUGGGAGGAACAACUCCUGUUCUGCAGGCCCUGCUGGGGUGGAGAAGAAAAGCCUGCACAGCUGCACAUUUUCUCGGAAGGAGUUGCAGGCGGCGGCACAGGCCAAGCUCUGGAGGCAGGUGGAGCCCAGCUGCAAAGCCUCCCAGCUCUGACCCCUCCGGGCGGCUUCAGCUUUCUAAGCAUCAGUGUCCUUCUUUGUAUAAUGAAAUUAAUUUCCACCUUCCAGGACACCUGUAAGGACUGCAGAUAAUGUUAAUGAAACGCCUAACACAGAACCUGGUAUAGAGUAGCCGUUUGGUCAAUGUUAGUUUCCUCUUCCACGUUACUUGCUCAUGCCUGUAUCUGCAGCAGACACAGGGCAAGAGUGCAUGGGAUGAGGAAGGGCUCUGUCCACUCUGAAGAGCCGUCUGGGCCCACUCUGUUCAGAUAGUCCACCCUGGAUGUGUUCUUCAACUCCAGAAUUUAUGAAGAUAACAAGGAAUACUGUAAAGAUGGUUGAACCUCCAAGUGCACUGUUCAGAGGCUGCUGUGUGAUGACCCCUACUGGAUUCUGGCAUCAAACUCCUGCUUGUCCUCACUUAGGACCUGGGGGGAUGCCCCCUCGUGGCAGAAGCAUGUCCCGGGACCCUCUUGUAUCUUGUUUUCCUUCAUUGCCUCUGCUGAAACGUCCAUUUCCUGCUUCUGAGCUGGUAAUGCUGACUUCUUUCUUAGCCUUUGCUUACACAGUUGCUGAAAGGGUCAUUUUAAAGUCCUGCAUCUUCACUGAAUUGAUGUUUGCAAAAGCCUUUGCUUCCCUAUCCAGUGCUCUGCAAACACUCGAUGUGGCUUCUCAGUCUGGAAGGAUACGGACACCAUCUGGCUGAAGCAUGACACUUCCUGAGAGGCAGUGUUUAAGUAAUUCCUGGAAAGCAGCAGCUCAUUGGUUUGAGUGUUAAUCACUCCAUAUCCAAUUUUCUGUGGCUUCAUCACAGUCUGUAUGACUUUGAGCUCAAGGUUAAGAAAGAAUGAAACGUGAUACAGCAAUUUGCCCUUGAUAAUGUCUAUCAUCAAGACAGAUGUGUCCUGAGCUCUGGCUACGUGCAGAGGACUGUGCUAGUAAGCUGGAUGAAGAGUGGACCGCCUUAAGCCAUAUAACUUGUCCAUGUUUAAAAGCAGAAGUGGGCUCUGUGCAAUCCAGUUUUUGGCUCCCAGUCUCAGCUACGUUUCAAGACAGGACACAGCCCUGGGAUGCACUACGGUUGGCUGAGGCUGUUAAAAGGACUCUGGAACAUUCCCCCACAGGGCUUCUUCAGUGCCUGUGGGUACCUGACUGGAGAUCCCGUUUGUAGCAAGGAGUCGGGGGCACCCCCUCUGACCCCAUCUUGAUGCUCCUUCUGGUUCUCAGUGAGAGCUGGGGAGUCUUCCUGGUAGAAACCCAGCUGUCAGCAGGUUUGUUUUGUUUGCAAUUAACUUCAGACUGUUUGUCGUCCUUUAGCUGUGUCGUGCUACAGGGCUGUAGCUUGCACCACUGUCCUAAAUCCCUUGCAGAUAUAGAUAUGCAUUUUUUUUAAACUAUAGAGAUGCAGCGUCAAUGCAGUGCUCCCAGUGUCAAUUUAGUCUAUGGGCACAAAAGCACCACAGUGAGCUUGCUGUCUUGCAAGAAACACCUUCUGAAACGAGCCUCUUCUGAGAGCUCCGUCUCCAGAGUUUAGCGCAAGUUUCCAGCAUGCCUCCUAUAAAGGCAGAAUAAAAUGCGUAUUUCCCAAUCCUGUCCUGCCAAAGAUCUCAAAAAUACACUGUGAAUAUUUUACACUAACGGUAAAGAAGAGAAACUAAUAUAACAAACCUCAGCCCUCUACCACCCAGCUUUGUCCCAUGUCACCAUUUUGCUAUAUUGUUCCCAAAUUAUUUUUCUUAAGAAGAAAAUAACAGAUAUGAUUGAGGAUUCCUAGGGGGGAGGGGCUCCACAAACUCAUUCCUCUCUCUCUUCACUCUCUUGAAUUUUAAUGUUUAUCAUCUGCAAUAUUUUUAAACAUUGACUACAUAUGCGUGAAUCCAUUAACAAGAUUUAGUACUGUUCUGAGCUAUUUUAGCAAUAUAAAAAUGACAUACUACUGCACUGAUCCUUCUGUAAAUUGCUUUCUUCACUCAAUAAUGCUAUUUUUGAGAUUUUAAAAGACUGAUACACGUAAGACUAGUUCAUUCACUCUGAGUUGUAGGAACAGAUGCUUUCCUUGUUUUUUUUUUCCUGUGGUUUGUGAACACUUGGUUAUUCUCCAUAUUUUUUCUAUAAAAACAUACCACAGUGAACUGUCUUAUCUACAUCCACCCUGCAAUUUGAGAAAAUGCCUCAAGAGUAGAAUCGGUGGGUUAUAGAAUUUUACUAGAUCCUGCCAGAUUGUUCUCUAAAGUGGUCCUGUCAAUGGAGACAGCCAAUACCAGUGACAACGUUUCCAUUUUUUUUCAUGUCCAUUCAUCCUCUAGAUGGGAAAAAUUUCAAAUUUAAAGAAAAGUUGCCAAAAUGACACAAUGAACACAUGUACAUACUUCCUUUCAACAGUUACUGACAUUCUGCUAUAUCUGCUUUCCCCUUCUCUUCAAAAUUUCUUGGUCUUUUAUUUUCCACAUAUACAUAUAUUGAAAUAGAUGUAAAUAUACAUAAAUUUAUAUAAUAAAUAUUAAUAAAAAUUAAAUAUGUAUAUAUGUAUAUAUCCUAGAACAAGGACAUUUUCCUACAUAACACAAUGCAAUCAUUACACUCAGGAAAUUAAAUGUUGAAAAAAUUCUAUUACCUAUUGUAUACCAGAUUCAAAUUUCCCCACUGAGGUAAUAAUCCUCUUUAUAAUUUUUCCACCAGCCCAGAAUCUAAUCAGGGAUUGAAUAUUACACUUAAUUGUCAUGUAUCUUUAGUCUCCUUUAAUUCCCUUUAGCCUAGAAAAAUACCCCAGCUUUAAAAAAACAUUCCAUGACAUUGACAUUUUUUUCUCCUUGCCAAUCUUGAUAAUGUCAGACUUUUUAAUCUUUGCCAAAUUGAUGAGGGUGAAAUAUCCCAUCAUGACUUUAAUUUGAUUUUCCUUGAUUCCUAGUGCUGUUGAGAAAUUGUUAUAUGCAUAUUGGCAAUUCAAAUAUCAAAAAGAUCUUCUCUUUAAUAUCUUUACCUGUUUUAGUACUAUGGAGCCUAUCACUGAUAGAUGUACAGAAGUUCUAGAUAUUCUGGAAAUUAAAUGAUUGUCAGUUAAAGGGAAUGUUAGCUAUGAUGCUUGGUUAGGUUGUUGAACAGAGGUUUUUGAUUUUAAUACUCAAAUAUAUCAAUGUUUCUCUUCAUGAUUUGUGAUUCUGUAAGGAGUCCUUUUCCAUCCCAGUUCAUAAAACAUUCUAAUAAAGAUAAUUAUAGAUCUUUCAGUC
Molecule: long non-coding RNA, 6752 nt
Filed under: Sus scrofa (pig)
Lineage: Eukaryota; Metazoa; Chordata; Mammalia; Artiodactyla; Suidae
Description: lncRNA (ENSSSCG00055011088.1)
Source: RNAcentral